UUUAGAGUUCCAUCUACCUCUCUUUAUCUCUUUUUAGAAAGGGGAAUUUUUUUUUUUUUUUGUUUUUUUGUCAACAAUUCUGUUUGGAGUGGAAGAAAAUCCAGGGAAAAGUAACUUAAAUCUCAUGACUUGACAACGCCAUUUUUGCUAACAAUAUUAAUGGAUACUGUCUUCCAACUGUACUAUCCCCUUCACUUCUUUACUGAUCUCCCGAAGCAGAAAAGAAACAAACGAAAUUGAGACCAAACCAGUGCAGAAAAUGAGAGUGCUGGGAUAAGGGUAUUUGCCUUUUCUACAAUUGUCCGGCCUUGCUGUUCAAGGUUUUUGUGCAAAUUCAAAGCUCCUACAUUCUAAUAACAAUUCUGUUUCGAUUUUCUUCUUAAUCCUAUCUUGAUCACAAAUAAUUGUUGCGAUCUAUUUCUUUUCUGCAACUUGAAUUGACUAAACAAACAUAUGCAGUUUUCUUUACCACGUCUGAGUUUCUUGUUCCUCAUGUGAUCAAGAUCUCAGGUAAUGCUAAAAUGCAAGUUUGCUGCCGAUUGUAUUGCUUUUAUCAGGUUAAUGUAGAUUUCUAGAUUUUUACUGUAUUAAGCUAAAUGAUUUAAUGAUUGGGCUAGGAUUGAUAAUUCAGAUUUUGUGUUCCAGUUUUAUUCUUGAAUAGAUUUGCAGAAAGUUUGUGUGCUUGUGGAUGCACAGGAUCUCUGAAGUGUCAGAAUGUACAUCUUCUUUCUAGCAUUGAUUUACUCCUCCCUUACCCAAUAACGAUGGGCUAAGUGGAUCCCUCAACAAUGCUUACAUCAUUUGGAGUUUGUUACUCUCUUUGAACUCUUAUGAAGUUCCUGGAGUUCGGAAACUCCUACACUCACUUAAUCCCAGCAUAUUAGAGUAGGGUGCUCUCUUCCUGGUGUUUGCUACCUGGUUCUUAAACAACCCUUAUUAUCUGAUCAUGAAAAUCUAUUUAGGUAGAGCCACGCACUCCCAACAAUUGUCUGGCCUCGCUUUUUAAGGUUGCUAAGAGCAAAUUCAAAGCUCCUACAUUCUAGUAACAAUUCUGUUUUGAUUUUCCUUUUGAUCCUAACUUGGUCAGAAAUAAUAGUUGCAAUCUAUUUCUUUCUGCAACUUAAAUUGACCAAACAAACAUAUAGCAACUUUCUUUUCCAUAUCCAGAUUUCUCGAUCCUAAUGUGAUCAAGAUCGCAAUAUGCUAUAUGAGGUUGAUAUAGAUUUCUAGAGUUUUGCUCCUUUUUUUUUUCAAUCCAAAAUCGACUGUAUUAAGGUAAUUGAGCUAGAAUCGAUAGUUCAGAUUAUGUGUUUCAGUUUUAUUCUUGAAUAGAUUUUUUAAAAAAGGUUUUUGUGCUUGUGGAUGCUCAGGAAUCUGAAGUGACAGAAUUUAUUUCUUUUUUCUAGCAUUGAUGGUACUGCUCCCUUUCCCAAUAAUGAUGGGUUAAGAGGAUCCCUCAGCAAUGCUUACAUCAUUUGGAGUUUGUUAGUCUCUUUGAACCCUUAUGACGUUCCUGGAGUUCGGAAGCUCCUACACUCAAUCCAAGCAACGAUGUUUCUAACCUAGAGCAGUAAUUGCUUGAUGGUCCUGACUCUCUCUCUCUCUCUCUCUCACACACACACACACACAGACACGCACACACACUCACACACGCGCGCAGACUAUCUUAUGUUGAUCUCCAAUUAAGUGAUAUAUUUGUUGUUUUCUAUGAUUAUGAAUAAUUUAGUUCUCAUGGGAUUUUCAUUACCUUGAUUUGUGACUUAAAAGAUGGAACCAAUUUCCACGCCAGUCCCUAUGCAAUAAUAAUUAUCCUGUGUUGAUUGCCUUUAACGUGUAAUUCUGAGCCACCUGUUGUUUUUUCUUCUUUUCAUGACUUUCUAGUUGCUACAGCGUCCAUAGAAUUGUGCACAGCGUGUUGUUUUAGGGGUGGGGCCGCCUUGCCUUAGCUAAGCCUUUGGCAUAAUCAUUCUUGUAGUUUUUUCCUGUUUAAGGACUUGCUGGGUGCUGCAGUGGACUUGGUUUUGUAGACAUGAGCCAAAGUAUGUGAAUAACUGCAGCUGCUACUACUUUUAUUCAUUUACAUUAUAAUGUAUUUUGUCAGUAAGUGCAGGCUACUGUAGUUGAAAGCUAGGGGCUUAUCUUGCCAACCUAUUCUAUGAAGUUCAUAUAAACCAAGUCAUCUAGGCCUAAGUGAUAAGGGAGUGCGACGUUGGUAGAGAUCCUGGUUUCUAGACUAGGAUUGCAUAAUACUAUAUGAACUUGUUUACAUAUUAAACCAUUUCAUGACCAUUCACAUGUCAUUUUUUAACUGAAGGUAAGAGCUUUCGAUGCUGCCUUGGCCUAUGAAGUCAGAGAUGUAAGGUUGUAUGUUCUCAAGUAAGUCUAUUAAUGAAUGUUGUCACUUUGCUAUAUGCCACUUGCUUCUUUGGAAGGCAGGCAACUGGACUAGCUAUAGUUUAGUUAAAUAUUGAUUCUUUUUAUUUAAAAAUAUAUAUUUUUUAAUAUUUCACCAUCAGUUUCUUGUACUCUGCUUUUUUAGAGAGUAUAAGCAAUUUUUUCCUCAAAGAAUUGUAGCAUCUGGGUUUGUGAAUUAAUCAUCAUAUAUGUGGUAUUGGUAAUAUGUGCAACGAACUCUAUGUUGGAGCUAUAGUUUGAAAUGAGAACAUUCUUUAAUGUUUUAAGGGCUUUCUAUGUUGUCCUUUGAUUUAUGGAGAGCAGGUUCGAGGUACGUGAGAUAAGUGCUAUUUUUUAUUUACUGAUCACAUUGUUGUUCUUUAAUCCAUUUUGUCACCGUCGGCAGGGUGUUAUAGUUGAAAGCUAACAACAGCAAUGGCUAAUUACCCUAUGGAGUCCGAGGAUGGAGACUCGAUAUCGUCGUAGUAAUAUAACUCUUCUGCUAGCCAUUGACUGCUUAGGCAGGUGUCCUUGCUUUGGUAGUACUGGUUCUGAAGUAUUGGGAGGAUGCUUUCAGUAAUAUCCCUUGCUUCGGCAUUUGAAUGUGUUGGCGAAAGUUAAACCUUCUGCUGAUUGAGAAUUUGUUUUCUUUGAUCUGUAAUUUUUGUUGGGUGUUAUUGUAAUUCAGGUUGAGAAUAUGUUUGCCAUUCCAAGGGCAGACUAAACCCCAUGAAACCCCCUGUUUACUGUUAAAGUGCCACCAGAAAGUUCAAUCUUGAAAUUCUGGUGUUUUCUGUUUUGUACUAGUAUUCUGAAAUUAUAUUUUAUUGUUGUUAAUUGGUUUUUGAAUUA
Jatropha curcas is the source of this 3246-nucleotide non-coding RNA. NCBI's taxonomy places the organism in Eukaryota, Viridiplantae, Streptophyta, Magnoliopsida, Malpighiales, Euphorbiaceae. The record is from RefSeq and is a predicted model, not a curated record.